Otolemur garnettii (small-eared galago) is the source of this 501-nucleotide RNA transcript. It is a transcript of the gene named prefoldin subunit 5 pseudogene, with no coding region annotated. NCBI's taxonomy places the organism in Eukaryota, Metazoa, Chordata, Mammalia, Primates, Galagidae. The record is from RefSeq and is a predicted model, not a curated record. The transcript has a single exon.
CAACAUGGCACAGUCGAUUAACAUCACCGAGCUGAAUCUGCCACAGCUAGAAAUGCUCAAAAAUCAGCUGGACCAGGAAGUGAGGUUCUUGUCCACGUCCACUGCCCAGCUCACGAUGGUACAGACUAAGCAUGUGGAAGCCAAGGAUUGUCUGAACAUGCUGAACAAGAGCAACGAAGGGCAAGAAUUACUCCUCCCACUGACAAGUUCCCAGUAUGUCCCUGGGAAGCUACAUGAUGUGGAACACAUGCUCAUUGAUGUGGGAACUGGCUACUAUGUAGAGACAACAGCUGAGGAUGCCCAGGACUUCUUCAAGAGGAAGAUAGACUUCCUAACCAAGCAGAUGAAGAAAAUCCAGCCAACUCUCCAGGAGAAACACACCAUGAAACGGGCUGUCAUGGAAAUGAUGAGCCAGAAGAUUCAGCAGCUCACAGUCUUGAGGGCAGGUCAGAUGACUGCUAAGGCCUAAGAGUUUGCAGAAAUGGGGCAGGAGGGAUCCUG